RNAcentral lists this non-coding RNA (283 nucleotides) under Pediculus humanus corporis (human body louse). The record is from RNAcentral. Lineage: Eukaryota; Metazoa; Arthropoda; Insecta; Psocodea; Pediculidae.
ACCGGAAGUGCUAGUGUAUUCUAAUAAUUCGACUACUCGGAGGAUAGGUAAAGAGGAUAAUUUAGAGGCGGGGAUUCCGGGAGUUGAUUUCUCACGUUAACUAAACGUUCCCUACAAAAUUAAGCUUCCACAUGGAUGCCUUGGGGGAGCCUGAAGUUGCCAGGUUGAGUCUGAAAAGGGAAAAAAUCGGCCCGAAAGCCACCGAGUUGAGAGUCGUGAGUUCAAAUCCUGGGAGUGGGAGUUCAAUUGCAGCUCGUCUAAACAAGAGCAGACUUGUACCUCC